This is a long non-coding RNA of Sphaerodactylus townsendi, 120 nucleotides long. RefSeq lists it as uncharacterized. The transcript is spliced from 3 exons. The record is from RefSeq and is a predicted model, not a curated record. Lineage: Eukaryota; Metazoa; Chordata; Lepidosauria; Squamata; Sphaerodactylidae.
AGAAGAAGAAGAAGAAGGAGCCAUGGGUGCUGACUGGCUGCUGAACGAAUGUGCUCCUCUUGUUUGCCCAGCUUCUGCUUCAAUAAAAAGGGCUGUGGCCCAUUUUAAUUCCAAGACGUG